Molecule: RNA transcript, 384 nt
Organism: Carlito syrichta (Philippine tarsier)
Lineage: Eukaryota; Metazoa; Chordata; Mammalia; Primates; Tarsiidae
Gene name: ATP-binding cassette sub-family B member 9 pseudogene
Exons: 1
Source: RefSeq, a predicted model, not a curated record
CCCCGGCGCCUGCGGGCCUCGUGGCUUGUCAUCACCCUCGUGUGCCUCUUCGUGGGCAUCUAUGCCAUGGUGAAGCUGCUGCUCUUCUCGGAGGUGCGCAGGCCCAUCCGGGACCCAUGGUUCUGGGCCCUCUUCGUGUGGACGUACGUCUCCCUCGCCGCUUCCUUCGUGCUCUGGUGGCUGCUGUCCAUGGUGCGGCCGGGCACCGAGGCCCUGGAGCCCGGGGCAGGCGCCGAGGCCGAGGCCUUUCCUGGGGGGAGCCGGCCCCCGCCCGAGCAGGCAUCCGGGGCCACGCUGCAGAAGCUGCUCUCCUACACCAAGCCUGACGUGGCCUUCCUUGUGGCCGCCUCCUUCUUCCUCAUCGUGGCGGCUCUGGGUAAGUGA